CUACGGGCCGCAGCAGUGGGGGAUAUUGCGCAAUGGGGGAAACCCUGACGCAGCAACGCCGCGUGAAGGAAGAAGGUUUUCGGAUUGUAAACUUCUUUUAUCAAGGACGAAUAAAGUGACGGUACUUGAUGAAUAAGCUCCGGCUAACUACGUGCCAGCAGCCGCGGUAAUACGUAGGGAGCGAGCGUUGUCCGGAUUUACUGGGUGUAAAGGGUGCGUAGGCGGCUCGACAAGUCAGAUGUGAAAUCUAUGGGCUCAACCCAUAGCCUGCAUUUGAAACUGCCGAGCUUGAGUGAAGUAGAGGUAGGCGGAAUUCCCCGUGUAGCGGUGACAUGCGUAGAGAUGGGGAGGAACACCAGUGGCGAAGGCGGCCUACUGGGCUUUAACUGACGCUGAGGCACGAAAGCGUGGGUAGCAAACAGGAUUAGAUACCCGGGUAGUC
Molecule: ribosomal RNA, 442 nt
Filed under: uncultured bacterium
Lineage: Bacteria
Description: partial 16S ribosomal RNA
Rfam family: Bacterial small subunit ribosomal RNA
Source: RNAcentral